RNAcentral lists this ribosomal RNA (637 nucleotides) under uncultured bacterium. Its description in RNAcentral is "bacterial SSU rRNA". It matches the Rfam family "Bacterial small subunit ribosomal RNA", at positions 607 to 1244 of the family's 1533-position model. The record is from RNAcentral.
GCUCAACCGAGGAAGUGCUUCGAAAACUGGUAAACUUGAGUGCAGAAGAGGAAAGUGGAACUCCAUGUGUAGCGGUGGAAUGCGUAGAUAUAUGGAAGAACACCAGUGGCGAAGGCGGCUUUCUGGUCUGUAACUGACGCUGAGAUUCGAAAGCAUGGGUAGCAAACAGGAUUAGAUACCCUGGUAGUCCAUGCCGUAAACGAUGAGUGCUAAGUGUUGGAGGGUUUCCGCCCUUCAGUGCUGCAGCUAACGCAUUAAGCACUCCGCCUGGGGAGUACGAUCGCAAGAUUGAAACUCAAAGGAAUUGACGGGGGCCCGCACAAGCGGUGGAGCAUGUGGUUUAAUUCGAAGCAACGCGAAGAACCUUACCAGGUCUUGACAUACCAUGAAAAGCUUAGAGAUAAGUCUUUCCCUUCGGGGACAUGGAUACAGGUGGUGCAUGGUUGUCGUCAGCUCGUGUCGUGAGAUGUUGGGUUAAGUCCCGCAACGAGCGCAACCCUUAUUAUCAGUUGCCAGCAUUCAGUUGGGCACUCUGGUGAGACUGCCGGUGAUAAACCGGAGGAAGGUGGGGACGACGUCAAAUCAUCAUGCCCCUUAUGACCUGCGCUACACACGUGCUACAAUGGUCGGUACAACG